This 828-nucleotide ribosomal RNA is filed under the name Knufia sp. LS-2015b. RNAcentral describes it as "eukaryotic LSU rRNA". It matches the Rfam family "Eukaryotic large subunit ribosomal RNA", at positions 86 to 931 of the family's 3401-position model. The record is from RNAcentral. Lineage: Eukaryota; Fungi; Ascomycota; Eurotiomycetes; Chaetothyriales; Trichomeriaceae.
ACGGCGAGUGAAGCGGCAACAGCUCAAAUUUGAAAUCUGGCCGUUUACGGUCCGAGUUGUAAUUUGUAGAGGAUGUUUUGGGUACCGCCACGGUUUAAAUUUCUUGGAACAGAAUGUCAGAGAGGGUGAGAGUCCCGUCUUGGACCGCGGUAGGGCCUGUGUAAAACUCCUUCGACGAGUCGACUUGUUUGGGAAUGCAGGUCAAAAUGGGUGGUAAAUUUCAUCUAAAGCUAAAUAUUGGCCAGAGACCGAUAGCGCACAAGUAGAGUGAUCGAAAGAUGAAAAGCACUUUGAAAAGAGAGUUAAACAGUAUGUGAAAUUGUUGAAAGGGAAGCGCUGGCAACCAGACUCGUGCGCGGGGUUCCCCCUUGCUUCUGCUUGGGUCACUUCCCCGUGUCCGGGCCAUCAUCAGUUUCGGGGGCCGGUUAAAGGCCUUGGGAAUGUAUCCACGCCUUCGGGGGUGGACUUAUAGCCCAGGGUGUCAUGCGGCCACCCGGGACUGAGGAACGCGCUUCGGCGAGGAUGAUGGCGUAAUGGUUGUCAGCGGCCCGUCUUGAAACACGGACCAAGGAGUCUAACAUCUAUGCGAGUGUUCGGGUGUCAAACCCUUGCGCGGAAUGAAAGUGAACGGAGGUAGGAAGGCUUAAGCCUGCACUAUCGACCGAUCCUGAUGUCUUCGGAUGGAUUUGAGUAAGAGCAUAGCUGUUGGGACCCGAAAGAUGGUGAACUAUGCGUGAAUAGGGUGAAGCCAGAGGAAACUCUGGUGGAGGCUCGCAGCGGUUCUGACGUGCAAAUCGAUCGUCAAAUUUGCGUAUAGGGGCGAAAGAC